GCCGGAUGCGGUGGCUUGUGCCUGUAGUCCCAGCACUCAGGAGGCUGAGGUGGGAGGAUCGCUUGAUCCCAGGAGUUCUGGGCUGUAGUGCGCUAUGCCGAUCGGGUGUCCGCACUAAGUUCAGCAUGAGUAUGGUGACCUCCCGGGAGCGGGGGACCAGCAGGUUGCCUAAGGAGGGGUGAACUGGCCCAGGUCGGAAACGGAGCAGGUCAAAACUCCCGUGCUGAUUAGUAGUGGGAUCGCGCCUGUGAAUAGCCACUGCACUCCAGCCUGGGCAACAAGCGAGACCCUGUCUCU
RNAcentral lists this signal recognition particle RNA (297 nucleotides) under Cebus imitator (Panamanian white-faced capuchin). RNAcentral describes it as "Metazoan signal recognition particle RNA (ENSCCAG00000013795.1)". It matches the Rfam family "Metazoan signal recognition particle RNA". Rfam says of the family: The signal recognition particle (SRP) is a universally conserved ribonucleoprotein. It is involved in the co-translational targeting of proteins to membranes. The eukaryotic SRP consists of a 300-nucleotide 7S RNA and six proteins: SRPs 72, 68, 54, 19, 14, and 9. Lineage: Eukaryota; Metazoa; Chordata; Mammalia; Primates; Cebidae. The record is from RNAcentral.